RNAcentral lists this ribosomal RNA (370 nucleotides) under uncultured eukaryote. RNAcentral describes it as "partial 18S ribosomal RNA". It matches the Rfam family "Eukaryotic small subunit ribosomal RNA", at positions 592 to 976 of the family's 1831-position model. The record is from RNAcentral.
CAAUAGCGUAUAUUAAAGUUGUUGCAGUUAAAAAGCUCGUAGUUGGAUUUCUGGUCGGAAGCUCCUGUCCUCUGAUGAGCGUACAAGUGCGUCCUACCAUCCUUCUGUUAACCUUUAAGGCUUUCGCGGCUUUCUAGGGGCUCAGAUAUUUUACCUUGAGAAAAUUAGAGUGUUUCAGGCAGGCUAGCGCCGGAAUACAUUAGCAUGGAAUAAUGGAAUAGGACUUUUGCCUCUUCUGUUGGUCAUGAGGCUCGAGUAAUGAUUAAUAGGGAUAGUUGGGGGCAUUAGUACUUAACUGUCAGAGGUGAAAUUCUCGGAUUUGUUAAAGACUAACUUAUGCGAAANCANNNGCCAAGGAUGUUUUCAUNAA